Molecule: ribosomal RNA, 253 nt
Filed under: uncultured bacterium
Lineage: Bacteria
Description: partial 16S ribosomal RNA
Rfam family: Bacterial small subunit ribosomal RNA
Source: RNAcentral
UACAGAGGGUGCGAGCGUUGUCCGGAAUCACUGGGCGUAAAGGGCGCGUAGGUGGCGGGAUAAGCGUGUGGUGAAAGCUCGGGGCUCAACUCCGAGUCUGCCAUGCGGACUGUCUUGCUCGAGCGUAGUAGAGGCAGGUGGAAUUCCGGGUGUAGCGGUGGAAUGCGUAGAGAUCCGGAGGAAGACCGGUGGCGAAGGCGGUCUGCUGGGCAGUUUCUGACACUGAUGCGCGACAGCGUGGGGAGCAAACAGG